Molecule: ribosomal RNA, 253 nt
Filed under: uncultured bacterium
Lineage: Bacteria
Description: partial 16S ribosomal RNA
Rfam family: Bacterial small subunit ribosomal RNA
Source: RNAcentral
UACGGAGGGUGCAAACGUUGCUCGGAAUCAUUGGGCGUAAAGCGCACGUAGGCGGCCUGAUAAGUCGGGUGUGAAAGCCCUGGGCUCAACCCAGGAAGUGCACUCGAAACUGUCAGGCUUGAAUAUGGAAGAGGGUCGCGGAAUUCCCGGUGUAGAGGUGAAAUGCGCAGAUAUCGGGAGGAACACCUAUGGCGAAGGCAGCUCGCUGGGACGUUACUGACGCUGAGACGCGAAAGCGUGGGGAGCAAACAGG